Molecule: long non-coding RNA, 1274 nt
Filed under: Sinocyclocheilus grahami
Lineage: Eukaryota; Metazoa; Chordata; Actinopteri; Cypriniformes; Cyprinidae
Description: lncRNA (ENSSGRG00000052278.1)
Source: RNAcentral
ACACAAUGAAGCUGCUGGUGGUAACAUAUAGGGCACGGGUGAGACAACUGUUUUUUUAAAUCAUGUCUGUUUUUUAAAAAAAAAACAUGACACAAAGCUGUGUGUGUAAAAGGAUGUCAUGUUGACUUUGAAAGAGGAUAUGCCACAACGCAAUUCAGUUAAAUUUCAGCUAGUAAACCUUGAGGCCAGAAAGGAGACAAAAACUUGGUGCGUCAACGACACAGUCAACAGGUCCUUUUGUGUCUCCGCAGCGCACGCAAGGUGAAGCGCUUUGGACGCACUCAAGCAUACAGAUAAGGACUGCUAACAACACGACAGAGCUCAUGUCUGCUCUACAGCUGAUACUCAGAGGACGCUAUGGUCGGAUGUCUCUUAACUGAGGACAACACAUGAAUACGCUGAACUUGUAAAUUAAGCCACAUGGUUAACAGCACAUAAUGCUUCGAUACGGAUCGCCACCCAAGAGCUGGCUUGGGCUUCGUCUGCGACUAAGUGAGAAGCCUGCACAGGAGGAGAAAACUGGCAUCUUGUGUCAGCAUCCCAACUGUCCCGAACGGCGGCUUGCUUCCAAGGUAACCCGUCAGUAUGUGUCACAGGGAAGCCCUGUAGGGGCGAAGCGAGCUGGUAAAUGUUUACCUCUUAGUGUUUUCGUGGACUCUUAUGGACAAAAAUCCCAGGCAUGCCAAUUGCAUUUAUCACAUGGAAUAUUCCAGCACAAUAAUCAUUUGUCAGCAGGUGUGCUUAGGGAACUGACAGGAAAAACAAAAGUUUUGUUUGUCUUUGUGCUGGUGAGAGGACGGAUAUGAUGUUAUAGGCAACGUUUCACCAGCCUUCUCCUGGGAGGCAUGGAAAAGAGAGAUUACUGUAGAGUAUAUGAGGCUGUUCACAUAUAAACGCGCUUACACAAAACAAAAUAUGUCUCUCCCUUCCUGUUGUUCUCUCUCUCCCUUUAUACACACGGUCUCUCUUCUUAUGUCUCUCUGUUUGUCUGUUUUUGAUUGCACUUUAUUGUCUUCGGACCAUUGCCAAACUGGUUUGACUAAAAAGUCAGUGUAUUCCUUCUUGUGUCCCUCUUUCUUUUAAACAUCAGUCACUCCCAUUUUUUAUCACUGGCAAACCUGGUGCCUAUUCAUUACCAACACUUUCCACUUUUGUAUUUUAACAGGUGCUCCUUUACCUUUAAAAUCAUAGAUUACAAUGCAACCACAAUAUGAAUACUGAUGUAUUGGAUACAGUAACCUUAAAUUGGACAAAUAUAUGUGCCAGUAUUCCCC